CCUACGGGAGGCAGCAGUGAGGAAUAUUGGUCAAUGGCCGAGAGGCUGAACCAGCCAAGUCGCGUGAGUGAAGACGGCCCUACGGGUUGUAAACCUCUUUUGUCGGGGAGCAAAGCGAACCACGUGUGGUUCUUUGAGUGUACCCGAAGGAAAAGCAUCGGCUAACUCCGUGCCAGCAGCCGCGGUACUACGUAGGUGGCAAGCGUUAUCCGGAUUUACUGGGUGUAAAGGGCGUGUAGGCGGGACUGCAAGUCAGAUGUGAAAUGCAAGGGCUCAACCCUGGAACUGCAUUUGAAACUGUAGUUCUUGAGUGAUAGAGAGGCAGGCGGAAUUCCGGGUGUAGCGGUGAAAUGCGUAGAUAUACGGAGGAACACCAGUGGCGAAGGCGGCCUGCUGGACAUUAACUGACGCUGAGGCGCGAAAGCGUGGGGAGCAAACAGGAUUAGAUACCCGAGUAGUC
This 460-nucleotide ribosomal RNA is filed under the name uncultured bacterium. RNAcentral's name for it is "partial 16S ribosomal RNA". It matches the Rfam family "Bacterial small subunit ribosomal RNA", at positions 338 to 795 of the family's 1533-position model. The record is from RNAcentral.